GACGAACGCUGGCGGCGUGCUUAACACAUGCAAGUCGAACGGAAAGGCCCUGCUUUUGUGGGGUGCUCGAGUGGCGAACGGGUGAGUAACACGUGAGUAACCUGCCCUUGACUUUGGGAUAACUUCAGGAAACUGGGGCUAAUACCGGAUAGGUGCUCCUGCUGCAUGGUGGGGGUUGGAAAGUUUCGGCGGUUGGGGAUGGACUCGCGGCUUAUCAGCUUGUUGGUGGGGUAGUGGCUUACCAAGGCUUUGACGGGUAGCCGGCCUGAGCGGGUGACCGGCCACAUUGGGACUGAGAUACGGCCCAGACUCCUACGGGAGGCAGCAGUGGAGAAUAGUGCACAAUGGGCGGAAGCCUGAUGCAGCAACGCCGCGUGCGGGAUGACGGCCUUCGGGUUGUAAACCGCUUUCGCCUGUGACGAAGCGUGAGUGACGGUAAUGGGUAAAGAAGCACCGGCUAACUACGUG
Molecule: ribosomal RNA, 468 nt
Filed under: uncultured bacterium
Lineage: Bacteria
Description: partial 16S ribosomal RNA
Rfam family: Bacterial small subunit ribosomal RNA
Source: RNAcentral